GCCCAUGUGGCGAAAUUGGUAGACGCACCAGCUUCAGGUGCUGGCGCCUUCACGGGCGUGCUGGUUCGAGUCCAGUCGUGGGCACCA
Molecule: transfer RNA, 87 nt
Filed under: Turicimonas muris
Lineage: Bacteria; Pseudomonadati; Pseudomonadota; Betaproteobacteria; Burkholderiales; Sutterellaceae
Also listed under: 3 other names
Description: tRNA-Leu
Rfam family: tRNA
About the family: Transfer RNA (tRNA) molecules are approximately 80 nucleotides in length. Their secondary structure includes four short double-helical elements and three loops (D, anti-codon, and T loops).
Source: RNAcentral